Molecule: ribosomal RNA, 516 nt
Filed under: bacterium enrichment culture clone ALO1_GLFRUDD03GRSKZ
Lineage: Bacteria
Description: bacterial SSU rRNA
Rfam family: Bacterial small subunit ribosomal RNA
Source: RNAcentral
GAGUUUGAUCGUGGCUCAGAUUGAACGCUGGAGGCGUGCUUAACACAUGCAAGUCGCGCAAGAAAGGGACUUCGGUCCUGAGUAGAGCGGCGCACGGGUGAGUAACGCGUGGGUAAUCUCCCUUGGUGAUCGGGAUAACAGUGGGAAACUGCUGCUAAUACCGGAUAAUCUUCAUGUUUAACUUCAUGGGGUAAAGGUGGCCUCUGCUUGCAAGCUACCACACCGAGAUGAGCCCGCGUCUCAUUAGCUAGUUGGUAGGGUAAUGGCCUACCAAGGCUACGAUGAGUAGCUGGUCUGAGAGGAUGACCAGCCACACUGGGACUGGAACACGGCCCAGACUCCUACGGGAGGCAGCAGUGGGGAAUAUUGCGCAAUGGGCGAAAGCCUGACGCAGCGACGCCUCGUGAGGGAUGAAGGUCUUCGGAUCGUAAACCUCUGUCAAGAGGGAAGAAACCCUUGGAUUCGAAUAGGGUCCUUGGCUGACGGUACCUCAAAGGAAGCACCGGCUAACUCCGU